This 2906-nucleotide long non-coding RNA is filed under the name Podarcis lilfordi (Lilford's wall lizard). The record is from RNAcentral. Lineage: Eukaryota; Metazoa; Chordata; Lepidosauria; Squamata; Lacertidae.
GGGUAUCGCCUGUCUGACAAGGGGUUGGCCAUGGAUCCCGGCAAGGUCCAGGCGGUACUGGAAUGGAAAACACCCAAAACAAGGAAGGAUGUGCAGAGGUUUUUAGGAUUUGGGAACUUCUAUCGUAAGUUCAUCCCAAACUUUGCCCACCUGACGGCGCCCAUUACGGACUGUCUCAGCAGUAAGAAGAAGUUCGUUUGGACGGAGGAGGCGGAGCAAGCAUUUGAGGAACUAAAAGGGCCUUCGCCUCGGAACAACAGCUCCUGCAUGUGGAUUUACAAAAACCGAUGAGAGUGGAAACUGACGCAUCAGACAGAGCGGUUGGGGCGGUGCUUCUCCAGCCAGGGAAGGAGGAGUCAGAGUGGAGACCGUGUGCUUUUUUUCGCGAAAGCUGAACAAAUCCGAGAGGAACUACACGGUGUAUGACCGAGAACUACUAGCCAUUCAUGAGGCGUUCCGGAGAUGGAGGCACCUGCUAAUUGGCGCACAACAUAAGGUGCAAGUGUGCACUGACCACAAGAACCUAGAGUAUUGGAGGACGGCACGAGUGCUCAACCAACGGCAAGUGAGGUGGGCCCAGGAAUUCUCCAAAUUUAACUUUGAGAUUUGUUACGUGCCAGGCCCAGAGAACAUUAGGGCGGACGCUCUCUCACGCAAACCUGAAUAUUUGGAGGGGGAGGGGCACCCGAAGAGAGACAUGUCAUUCCAGAGGACCGCUGGGUGUGUGGGGCGGCAUUGGUGGGACAAAGAGAACUGGUAGAAGAAACAGAGAAUGAUGAAUACGCCCAGAAUAAGCUCAGAGGUCUUAGGGAUGAGGGAGAGGAAUCAAGGGGUUUCGAGGAAAGAAAUGGAGCUUUGUAUUACAAAGGGGCACUGUAUAUCCCUGAAGGAGACUUAAGGGGAGGGUACUCAAGCAGUUGCAUGACAGCCCCACGGCGGGCAUUUUGGGCAACACAAAACCAUGUGGUUGGUCACCAGGGAAUUUUGGUGGCCUAAGGUGAGGGAGGAUGUACGUGAGUAUGUAAGAGGGUGCGAGCAGUGCCAGCGAGCCAAAGGGGAAAGGCGGGCGCCGGCGGGCUAUUAGAACCCUUACCAACACCAGAACGACCUUGGGAGGCAGUGUCGAUAGAUUUUAUGACUGAUCUGCCGAAGUCCAAAGGGAAAACAGCCAUCAUGGUGGUGGUAGACCUACUAACAAAGAUGUGCCACUUUGUAGCUUGCUCGCAUGCAGUCACGGCGGAAGAGACAGCGAAGUUAUUUGUAGAACACAUUUUUAGGUUGCACGGGGUGCCAUUGAGGGUGGUCUCAGACCGAGGAAAACAAUUUACUUCCAGGUUCUGGAGGAAGCUCAUGAGCUUACUGCAGGUGGAGGUCAACUUUUCGACUGCCCGGCACCCUGAAACCAACGGGCAGGCGGAAAGAGCAAACGGUGUCCUCCAGCAAUACCUGAGGUGUUAUGUCAAUGACAGAGAGAAUGACUGGGUAGAAAAGUUGGCGCUGGCGGAAUUUGCCUACAACAAUGCCGAGAAUGUGUCCACAGGGAUGAGCCCCUUCUUGGCUAAUUAUGGGUGUCAUCCCAGGGCUUUCCCAGGGGAGAAGGGGAGAGAUGGAGCGUACCGGCAGCCGAGCAUUUUGUAGAAGAAAUGGAAGCAAUCCACCGUCAGCUCCAACUCAACUUAGAAAGGGCGAAGGAAGAAUACAAGAGGCAGGCAGACAAGAACCGAAGGGAAGGUGAAACCAUAAGGGUUGGAGAUAGGGUGUGGCUGUCAACCCGAGGGGUGCCGUUCAAAGGAGGUUGUAAGAAAUUAAGACCCAGGAGGUUGGGUCCCUUUGAGGUCAUUCAACAGGUCAACCCAGUGGCUUUCAGGCUCCGGUUACCCAACCACAUGAAACUGCACCCAGUAUUUCACAGGUCGUUACUGUCACCGUACGAGGGGGGACGAGAAGGGAUGGCCACUCGGGGACCGGUCAUAGAAGAAAGAGAAUGCAGCAGUCAUGUGGCAGAAAUCCUUGAUGCCAGGUGGAAGGGGAAUCAGGUGGAGUAUUUGGUAGCGUGGGAAGGAGAACCGGAGUCAGAAAACACGUGGGUAAUGGCCGAAGAUAUCAAUGACGAGGUAUUGAUAGAAACGUUCCAUCAAAGGUUCCCGAGGAAACCUCAGCCUGUGGAGAGGUUCCGGAGGGAAUACUUUGGGACCACUGAGGAGGAGGAGGAGUUGGAAGGAUUCCCAGAAUCGGAAGGGGAAGGGGAGAUGGACUCGGAGGAGGAGGAGUGCUUCGAGACCAGGAACCGCAACAGGUGGAGAGAAGUGUUCGAGACAUCGGAAGAUGAAGGAAGUUCAUUCCGGGUUUUGCCUCCUCACCGCCCGUAGAGGAGGGGGCGAGAGGGGGUGAAGGGGGCCCUGGAGGGGAGGUGGAUGUCAGGGAACUGCCAUCGGAAGGAAGGGAGGUGAAAGGACUCAGACAGGUUGGAAGAGACUCAGCAGCGGAAGAGGGAACCAGCAAGGGGAGAGAAGCUGAACUGAGGGAGGUGAAAGGGCUCAGACAGGUUGGAAGAGACUCAGCAGCUGAAGAGGAAACCAGCAGGGGGAGAGAAGCUGAACUGAGGGAAAGGGAGCUGGGGGGGAUGGCUCAGAGAUACUUCCAGCGAAAACAGUGGUGAGGUUUCCGGACCUCCUGUUGGGACACCCACUCCUCGCCGGAAACUGUCACGCAGAGAGUCCAGAAGACGUGUUUCCGUUAAGGAACUUUUAUGUUGGAAGCGAUUACGAAAGCAGCCACUGUCGGAAUCUUCUAGUGACUAGAGGAGCCAUGUCAGAGGGGCUCAGUCACAGACAGAGGUUUGUGGACUUGAACAAACUCUGAGGGAAUACGAUUUUACGCACAAGCAGCUCAUCUUCCCAUCACAG